This 380-nucleotide ribosomal RNA is filed under the name uncultured eukaryote. RNAcentral describes it as "partial 18S ribosomal RNA". It matches the Rfam family "Eukaryotic small subunit ribosomal RNA", at positions 592 to 976 of the family's 1831-position model. The record is from RNAcentral.
CAAUAGCGUAUAUUAAAGUUGUUGCGGUUAAAAAGCUCGUAGUUGGAGUUCUGCCAGGUGCCGCCUGUCCGCCCCAGUGGUGAGUACGUGGCGCGCAUUUGGCCCUUUCAAGGGGAGCGUAUCUGCACUUUAUUGUGUGGUGCGGGAUCCUUGACUUUUACUUUGAGGAAAUAGGAGUGUUCCAAGCAGGCUCUCGUCGUGCACAGCUCAGCAUGGAAUAAUAGCAUUGGACCUCGAUUCUAAGCUGUUGGUUGCCAGAAGCGAGGUAAUGAUGAAGAGGGAUAGUUGGGGGCAUUCGUAUUUAACUGUCAGAGGUGAAAUUCUUGGAUUUGUUAAAGACGGACUAUUGCGAAAGCAUCUGCCAUGGAUGUUUUCAUUGA